Molecule: ribosomal RNA, 496 nt
Filed under: Elaphe cantoris (Eastern trinket snake)
Lineage: Eukaryota; Metazoa; Chordata; Lepidosauria; Squamata; Colubridae
Description: partial 12S ribosomal RNA
Rfam family: Bacterial small subunit ribosomal RNA
Source: RNAcentral
GCCUAACCAUAACAAAACAAUCAAAUAACCCAUUGUUCGCCAAAUAACUACGAGUAAAAACUUAAAAUGUAAAAGACUUGACGGUACCUCAAAACAACCUAGAGGAGCCUGUCUAAUAACCGAUACCCCACGAUCAACCCAACCCACUCUAGCCUAACAGUCUAUAUACCGCCGUCGCAAGCCUACCUUGUGAAAGAAACAAAGUGAGCACAAUAGCCAUCACACUAACACGACAGGUCGAGGUGUAACUUAUGAGGGGGUUAAGAUGGGCUACAUUUUCCAAUACAGAAAACACGGAUUAAUCUAUGAAAAAGAAACUAAAGGAGGAUUUAGCAGUAUAUUAGGAACAACAUACCUAAUUGAAACCAACGCAAUGAGGUGCGUACACACCGCCCGUCAUCCCUGUGUACAAACAUAAAACAUAUAUAAUAAAAACAAACUACUAAAACAGGGCAAGUCGUAACAUGGUAAGCGUACUGGAAAGUGCGCUUAGAUA